RNAcentral lists this ribosomal RNA (253 nucleotides) under uncultured bacterium. RNAcentral describes it as "partial 16S ribosomal RNA". It matches the Rfam family "Bacterial small subunit ribosomal RNA", at positions 524 to 776 of the family's 1533-position model. The record is from RNAcentral.
AACGUAGGUACCGAGCGUUAUCCGGAUUCACUGGGCGUAAAGCGCGUGCAGGUGGUAUGGUAAGUCGGGCAUGAAAACUCUUGGCUCAACUGAGAGACGCUGUCCGAUACUGCCGAACUUGAGGGUGUAAGAGGGAGGUGGAAUUCCGCAUGUAGUGGUGAAAUGCGUAGAUAUGCGGAGGAACACCAGUGGCGAAGGCGGCCUCCUGGUACACUCCUGACACUCAAACGCGAAAGCUAGGGGAGCGAACGGG